UCCUUGCUCAGUUGGUAAAGCAUGAGACUGUUAAUCCCAGAGCUGUGGGUUUGAGCCCCAUGUUGGGCACAA
Molecule: non-coding RNA, 72 nt
Organism: Podarcis lilfordi (Lilford's wall lizard)
Lineage: Eukaryota; Metazoa; Chordata; Lepidosauria; Squamata; Lacertidae
Source: the annotation of a GenBank genome assembly